UGCAGGGCUGUCUCCUUGAUCACAUGAGUGUACCCCAUUCUAUUGGGAAAAAACAUUUUCUGACCAAGGGGGCUCCUCUAAGGCUGAUGGCCCAAGAAAAAUAUCCUCUCUGCCUAAACUAAAAGCAGCCCUGCUUGAUUUCAACAUCAUUAUUCCUUAUGUCCGUGACAAGCAGGCUGCUGUUACAGUAACUCGUGUGGAAGAGCUUCAUCCUUGCCAACUUGUCAUUGCUCACAAAGCACAUAAAUAAUUUUUCCUGAAAGCGUGUAUAAGCACAGGUAGUGGAAGGAGGGGAGAGGGUGGUGGAAUUACAGGAACAGGAUCUAAAGUUCCCAGAAAGAAUAUCUCUCUCUCUUAAACUUUCUCCAGGGGAAGUCUCCUGUAAACUGAAAAUGCCCAGAGGCAACUAAAAAAUAAAAAAAGGAGCGAAGCAACUGCCAGAUUGUAACUGGCACAAAUGAAGACUCACACAGCUAAUCUGCCCAUAUAUUACAUAACACACUGUUAUUCAUGCAAUGUGAAAUGACAGCUGAAAUUAAAGAGAUAAUGGACAUAAAACUAAUGGCACCACUUUAAUAUAACAUCCCCAGAUAUUAUAAACAAAGUCUAUAAAUUAUUGAUAAGGCUGGCCUUGCAGGCAUUCCAGUUAUUCAGUUAGUUUUUUGUUUUUCCAGCAUCAUCUUAAACAAGCUGACAGGUUUAUAAGACCUCUAACAACAUUAUUCUCUAGCUGUCUUCUAGUUUUCCUUUGCCUUUGUCCAUUUGAUAUAUUAAAAUAUUAAAUUAUGGCAUGCUACCAUGCUUGCAAUCUUUGGAACCCUUUGCUGGCUUCUAUAAAGAUGUUUCAAAUGUUGUUUGUGAAUAAUGCCAUGGUCUCUUUCUCUUUACUACACAUUUCAUUUAUGCCUCUUGUGCCUCAUAUGCUAGUUACAGAAUCCCCUGGAUUCCUGCACACCCACUCUCUCUGUUAAUAGGUGCUGGGCAUAUUUGGUCGGAGAGGACCACAAGUCCGGUGCUGCCCAAAGCAGAGGACCUCAGUCUGCCCCCUUUCCAUUGGUGAGUACGGUCUGUACUGCACUUGCGCUGAUUGCAGAAGAGACAGAUACCGCCCUUCACCCUCAUCUCAACCACUUGUGGCGAAAUCCAAGGUCUGGGAUUAUUCUUUUGCUAGAUUUUAUUUACCAUAUAGGUCGUCCCUCUAAAGCUGCCACCCUUGGGUACCUGUAUGGCAAAUACAACCCUGGGUAUCCAGAGGAGUUAAAUUAGGUGCUUAGCACAGCUGUAUGAUGUUGGCAGGUGGAAUGCUUGCUGGAGUGGGGAGGUAGUGUUCACUCUAGAGGAGUACCUAUAGUUAUGUUUCACAGAGGUUUGACUUUGUAUUGUCCAGUUUAUAAAUAAAUUGUGUGGCAAUAAAGAGAUAGGAUUUCAUAUCUUGAUCCACUGGGGUGUCCAGGUAAUACUAAGCAGAGAUGGCCAAUGCAUUGAUUCUCUACCCCGAUGAAACAAUUUACAUAUAAGGGCUAAUUUUACAAAAGUGGUGCUGUAUGCAAAGUGCAAGAAAUUGUAACAGAUUGCCACAUUUCCUGCCCUCAAUCCAUGAUUUUCCCCUGCAGUCUCUUCUAUUUGCUUCUGUUGGUACCAGGCACAAGUGCCACAUCCCUUAGUGCAAAUAUCUGCUCUUCUAGAAUCAUCUAAUGCAGAAGUAAAUGCAAACUGCACCUGGUUAGGCAUAAGUACAAAGUGCAUGGCAUACAGGGAAGAGGGUGCAAUAGUCCCUAACCAUUGUCUUUGAUAAAUAAGCCCUAUACAAUUCACUUCAAUUAGCUGCCUUUCUAAAAAAGUUUCACCUCGGGUGGGUGACAAAAUGCCCAGGAUCACUAAAACCAUGAAUUCAGGCAACUGUUGCUUGGAAACACUGUCCACUGGCCAAUGAAAACAAUAGAAAGAGAUUCCAGACCUUUUGCCAAUGGACUGAGCACCAAAUGCCUGCAAAACGUGCCCAAGGCCAUUUCCCUACAAGAACUGAUUGUAAACAUUGUACAAUAAAAACCAGCAUUCUUUUUUUAAA
This is a long non-coding RNA of Xenopus laevis (African clawed frog), 2068 nucleotides long. RefSeq lists it as uncharacterized. The record is from RefSeq and is a predicted model, not a curated record. NCBI's taxonomy places the organism in Eukaryota, Metazoa, Chordata, Amphibia, Anura, Pipidae. The transcript is spliced from 2 exons.